AGAGUUUGAUCAUGGCUCAGAUUGAACGCUGGCGGCAUGCUUUACACAUGCAAGUCGAACGGCAGCGCGGGCUUCGGCCUGGCGGCGAGUGGCGAACGGGUGAGUAAUGCAUCGGAACGUACCCAGUCGUGGGGGAUAACACAUCGAAAGAUGUGCUAAUACCGCAUACGUCCUGAGGGAGAAAGCGGGGGACCUUCGGGCCUCGCGCGAUUGGAGCGGCCGAUGUCAGAUUAGCUAGUAGGUGGGGUAAAGGCCCACCUAGGCGACGAUCUGUAGCGGGUCUGAGAGGAUGAUCCGCCACACUGGGACUGAGACACGGCCCAGACUCCUACGGGAGGCAGCAGUGGGGAAUUUUGGACAAUGGGGGCAACCCUGAUCCAGCCAUGCCGCGUGAGUGAAGAAGGCCUUCGGGUUGUAAAGCUCUUUCGGCCGGGAAGAAAUCGCGCUCUUUAAUAGAGGGUGUGGAUGACGGUACCGGACUAAGAAGCACCGGCUAACUACGUGCCAGCAGCCGCGGUAAUA
Molecule: ribosomal RNA, 522 nt
Filed under: uncultured bacterium
Lineage: Bacteria
Also listed under: 1 other name
Description: bacterial SSU rRNA
Rfam family: Bacterial small subunit ribosomal RNA
Source: RNAcentral